UUUCCAGUCACGACGCAUAUCAAUAAGCGGAGGAAAAGAAACCAACAGGGAUUGCCCUAGUAACGGCGAGUGAAGCGGCAACAGCUCAAAUUUGAAAUCUGGCUCUUUUAGAGUCCGAGUUGUAAUUUGCAGAGGGCGCUUUGGCUUUGGCAGCGGUCCAAGUUCCUUGGAACAGGACGUCACAGAGGGUGAGAAUCCCGUACGUGGUCGCUGGCUAUUGCCGUGUAAAGCCCCUUCGACGAGUCGAGUUGUUUGGGAAUGCAGCUCUAAAUGGGAGGUACAUUUCUUCUAAAGCUAAAUAUUGGCCAGAGACCGAUAGCGCACAAGUAGAGUGAUCGAAAGAUGAAAAGCACUUUGGAAAGAGAGUCAAACAGCACGUGAAAUUGUUGAAAGGGAAGCGCUUGCAGCCAGACUUGCUUACAGUUGCUCAUCCGGGUUUCUACCCGGUGCACUCUUCUGUAGGCAGGCCAGCAUCAGUUUGGGCGGUAGGAUAAAGGUCUCUGUCACGUACCUCCUUUCGGGGAGGCCUUAUAGGGGAGACGACAUACUACCAGCCUGGACUGAGGUCCGCGCAUCUGCUAGGAUGCUGGCGU
This 593-nucleotide ribosomal RNA is filed under the name Alternaria sp. YTY2(2). RNAcentral describes it as "eukaryotic LSU rRNA". It matches the Rfam family "Eukaryotic large subunit ribosomal RNA", at positions 21 to 632 of the family's 3401-position model. Lineage: Eukaryota; Fungi; Ascomycota; Dothideomycetes; Pleosporales; Pleosporaceae. The record is from RNAcentral.